UACGGAGGGUGCGAGCGUUGUUCGGAAUCACUGGGCGUAAAGGGCGUGUAGGCGGUCCGCUAAGUCUGAUGUGAAAGCCCGGGGCUCACCCCCGGAAGUGCAUUGGAAACUGGCGGACUCGAGUCCCGGAGAGGAGAGUGGAAUUCCUGGUGUAGCGGUGAAAUGCGUAGAUAUCAGGAGGAACACCGGUGGCGAAGGCGGGUCUCUGGACAGUUCCUGACACUGAGGCACGAAGGCCAGGGGAGCAAACGGG
RNAcentral lists this ribosomal RNA (253 nucleotides) under uncultured bacterium. RNAcentral's name for it is "partial 16S ribosomal RNA". It matches the Rfam family "Bacterial small subunit ribosomal RNA", at positions 524 to 776 of the family's 1533-position model. The record is from RNAcentral.